Molecule: long non-coding RNA, 3477 nt
Organism: Fukomys damarensis (Damara mole-rat)
Lineage: Eukaryota; Metazoa; Chordata; Mammalia; Rodentia; Bathyergidae
Exons: 3
Source: RefSeq, a predicted model, not a curated record
GUGGCCAGAACCCAGAGCCUCGAAGGUAGGAGACAGGGAGGAUAAAAUGGAAAGGUGGGCUGAUGCCGGCACUGACAGCUGAGGUGCAGUUGGCUGGCCUUCUGGGGGUUAGCGCUGUGCUCUAGAAAGACCCUGCUGGUGGCACUCUGGAGGCUGCACUGAUGAGCCCGGAACUGCAGACCACUUAGGGGGCUGGGGGGCACUUUGGGGGAGAAGGAAGGGUGUGAAAGCUGCCAGGUGGAAGGAGAGGUUGCUGUGCACCGGGACUAGGAUGUAACCCCUACUCGCAUCUCAGCCUGGGUUCCCAGCACUGCACAGAUCAGGGGCUCCAGUUCUCCCUCCUUGCCAAUCGUCUGUGCCUGGGGUUGGUCCAGGGUUGGUCCAGGGAUUUCCCGGGUGUCCCUCUGGGCUCUAGACAGCACAGCAGCUGUGGGUGAGUGGGGCAGAGGCCCCACCCCAGUGGCCUGGAGACCCGGCCUCAACCCUCUCAUUCUGCCCUCGCUCGCUCUGUUUCUGGUGCCACGGGGACGCCACGCCUGUAAUUACGGGGUUCGUGCGGCUGCGUGUGAAGAGGCCGCCCCAAACCACCAAGGGUGUCAGAGCUCAGCCCAGUGGCCUGGAGCAGAUCUGGGUGGUGAUGUCAGAGCCCUGCACUGCUCCUUGUCUCUGGUACCUCCUCUGGACCUGACCUUGAGUCGUUUUUCCUUAAUCUCUAGGAUUCUGGAUUUUUUUAUUUCCCCAGGGCUAGGGCUCGAACCCAGGCCUUGCACGCUGUAGACGAGCACCCUCCCGCUGAGCUCCAUCCCGGCCCCGGCUUCUGGACUCUUAACCAGCUUUGCCACCCGCCUCUGAUCCUAACAUGGAAGUGCCGACAUUCUUGUGUAACAGCAGAAGAGACAGCCCCAGGUAGGGGAGCCGAGGCAGAAGACCUCAGAAGGAGCAAGGAGGUGCUCUGGAAAGCCCUGAAGAUGAGUGAAAGGCAGACCCUGGAGGAAUCUGGGAGCCAGCAGCCAGGCAAGAGUCUGGCUGGAGAUGGUUGCUGGAGGCCAGAGAACAAAGUCUUCCUGCUCACCUCUUCCUUGCCCUCCCGAGUGUCAGGCCAUCUGUGGGACAAGGAGCAGAGGAAGAAAAUAUCGUGGGCUGCAGUUCUUAAAAACCCUGCUUCAUACCGUGGCUUUGGGAAAACAGAGAAGCUGACUGCAGGAGCUCUACCUGCUCACCCCCUGCUCCAGAUGCUCCCUCCAUGAAGACCCCUGGGAUAAACCAGUGUGGGGACCCAAAUGCCAUCACUCGUUUCUGAUGGCUCUGGAUUGCUGGCCUCUCCAGGAAGAGGAGAGGCUGGACUGAGGGUGGUAAAGAAGCCCAGAAGAGUCUGCAAAAGCCCUCAGAUGCAAAGGCCCACUCCUCCAAGCGGGGUCAGAUGCACUGGAGGUUAUAGAAUGGUACAGCCAUCCUCCCAAGGGCUCCACGAAGACUCUGCCUCAGCAAUUUCCAGAACAAAUCUGCUGUUCGUUUGAGUCAGGCAAUCACAGGCUACAGAUUCCCCAGGGGCCCAAGAAUCCAGCCACUGGCUCCUCCUGUCCUUGCAGAGCAGGACAGUUAGAUACACACAGCAGCACCGAGGUUAAACUACGACGGCCUGGCCUGGGAUGCCCCUCAGAUGCCCAGACCCCCCUCAGAGAGGGUCAGUAGGUAGCCAGGUCUCUCCAGGGCUCUCACACAAGUGGCCCGGAUGGGGACAGCUCUGCUCCAAUCCCCGGUAGCUCUCACCCUAGCCCUGCAGUGGUGGGGAGCUACGGAGCCAGGGUGGAUGUAUCCCAGGUGCUCCAGAAAGACAGCUCCUAAUUUCCCAUAUCUUCAUGGUGUCCCCACCCUCACCUGGCCAAAGUUCUGCCUGCUCAAUCUGAUCCCUUCUCCUCUUCACCCAACCCGUUCCUCUUUUUUGUUUGUUUGUUUGUUUUGAGACAGAGCCUCACUAUGUAAUUCAGGAUGGCCUGAAAUUCCUCUAACUCACGAUUAUAGCACAUGCUGGCCUUGAACUUGCAGUGAUCGUCCUGCCCCAGCCUCCCAAGUGCUGGGAUUACAGGUGGGUCCCACCUUGUCCAACCUGUUCCUCUUAUUCUGCCAGUUUACUUUAGGACUUUGCUCAUUCGUCCUCUCCAAAUGUCCCCUCUCCCUGUCUAUCUGGGUCCAUUCCAGACCUAGUUUGUAAACAUAACUGACCCGAUCCCUAAGUGCAAGCCCCCAGUCUCUCCCAGGAAGCCCAGGUUUGGCAAGUGUAGCACUCAGGGUACUGGGUCACCCCUGGAAAUGCCAGAGUCCAAAGUCUACCCAGGACUGGCAGCUCAGAUGGUUCCAGGGGCAGAAAUAACCUGAGCCUGAUGCCCUUUACUUCUUGGGAGUGACUCAGCGAGAAGCUAGCAGAUGGGACACAUCUAGCUCAGCAGAGGGGAUAAGGGGCGAGGUCAAGGCCUUAGGCUGUGCCAUAGGGAUGGGCACUCAGAACAGUCCGGGCUUUGCUCCGGGGACAAAAAGCACACAAAGAGACCGCUAGACCCCAUUUUCCACUGAGGAGCCAGGAGCAAACAAAAGGUUGGAUGACACACUCAGCUGGCAAGGGUGGGAGAAGGCACUCUCGGGCUUUGCUAGGGCUGUAAGCUGAUCCCUUCUGCCUGGAGGGCAGCUCGCCAGUGUCUGCCAAAGCACAGGUUCUUCGACCCGGCAAUUUUACUUCCAACUAUGCACACUCAUACUUUGAAAUGGUCCCGUGGUGGUGUUUGUCGCAAUGACAAAAGAUGGGAGGUGCCCUUCUUAGGGGACUGGGUCAGUGAUUGGGUACAGUGGGCAGAGUAAGGAGUGGGAGACCCCGAAGAAGGACCCCGGAGCCAGGUGGCAGAUGAAUUGUGAAGAAGAGAAACAGCGGGCUACGCUGCGCAGGUCCUCCUUGGGAGGCUGAAGAGGACGGCAAGUUCAAGGCCGGCCUGGGAAACCUAAUGUCUCAGAGAUAAGGAAGGCUAGGAGUGUAGCUCAGUGGUAGAGCCCUUGCCUGGCACGCAGGAAGUGAGAGGAAGUGGGGGAGGAAGAGGAGAGUGGAAAACCAACAAAGUGAAGGAGCUCACCAGGCUGUGGGGCUGGCAGGCUUCCAGUCUCAAUGCAGGGAGGAGAUGGCGUGCUCCGGCCGGGUGAGAGAGAGACCGCACACAGGCUUUUCUGCUCCAGUGUUGUAAGGAAUGUCCCUGAAUGGCUAGCAAGGAAAUGGGUUGCCUUGGUUUUAUAGGGACAGCUGUUUUCUCUCUAUAUAUUUUCGUGACUAAAAUUUUGACCAGGGUGGUGGUAAUCCUGGUCAUCACAGCACUUGGAAGAUUGAGGCCAAUCUGGAAGUUUGCAAGUUUAAGGCCAAUCUGGGUUACAUACAGAAACCUCCUCAUGAAAAAAGUCACCCCCCCAAAUCUUUUUGAGCUAUUGUGAGCAAGUUUC